This 253-nucleotide ribosomal RNA is filed under the name uncultured bacterium. Its description in RNAcentral is "partial 16S ribosomal RNA". It matches the Rfam family "Bacterial small subunit ribosomal RNA", at positions 524 to 776 of the family's 1533-position model. The record is from RNAcentral.
UACGUAGGGGGCAAGCGUUGUCCGGAAUCAUUGGGCGUAAAGAGCGUGUAGGCGGUCUUAAAGGUCUGGUGUGAAAGCCCGGGGCUCAACCCCGGAGGGUCACUGGAAACCAUAAGUCUUGAAUCUGGAAGAGGAGAGUGGAAUUCCUGGUGUAGCGGUGGAAUGCGCAGAUAUCAGGAGGAACACCAAUGGCGAAGGCAGCUCGCUGGUACAUGAUUGACGCUGAGACGCGAAAGCGUGGGGAGCGAACAGG